UUAAUUCCAUUUUUCUAUGAACUUUUUGAAGUACACUCAUACUUUUCUGAAGGGUAAAUUCAUGAGAUCAACCACUCCUUUGCAAGUUGACUAUGGAGAAAGUCCAAGUAAGUUAGCCAAAAAGAGUGAAAGAUAGGGGACCAGUGUUGUGAUGUGGUAGGUUAAGCCUCGACCUGCAGCACUGGCAUCCCAUAUGGGCUCUGGUUCAAGUCCUGGCUGCUCCAUUUCUGAUUCAGCUCUCUGCUUUCUCUCUGGGACAACAAUGAAAGAUAGCCCAAGUACUUGACCCCUGUACCAUGUGGGAGACCUAAGAGAAUCUCCUGGCUCUUCACUUUAGAUAAGCCCAGCUCCAGCCAUCAUGGCCAUUUGGGGAGUGAACCAGCAGAUGGAAGAUCUCUCUUUCUCUCUCUGCCUGUCAUUGUAACUCUGCCUCUCAAAUAAAUAAAUAAAUGUUAAAAAAAAAAGAGUGAAAUAUAGGACUUUCUGUCAUUUUAUGCAGUAAACAUAAAGUAGGCUAAACCACCCCCUGGCUAUCAGGAAUCUUUGAAGACCUUUGUGAAUACAGAGGACGUGGGUGUAUCUGGCAUCAUGUGAUGGGUACAACAUGACAUUUUAAAGCACGUGAUGGUAUUUAAAACUGUUUUUCUCCUAAACACUUUAAGUUCACCCUUCCUACAAAUGUGUUUAGCCUAGUAAUGCACACAAUCUAUAAUUAUCUCAGCAACGAGUAAAUUUCAUUCCAGCUUCUGUGGCACUACAUUGAAUGAGGCUUAUUGACUUGGUAUGGUUCCUAUUCACUCAGUGGUGGGAGGAAAGUUCUUGACUGGAAUCUCAGAUGGAUGAUGAAAGAUCUGCUGUGAAAGCUGUGUCUUCUGCAAGAACCAAAGGAACCGGGACACAGAAGCCUGCAAUGAGAUGCUGGCCCUGUCCUCUUCAGAGACGGCAGCAGGUCCCCACUUGCUCUGCACAACCUCCAGGGAACUGCUCGUACCCAGCCCUGACAGCCCACACAGUGCCACCUCUGGGUUCACGGCUGGAAUCUGAUGCCCUCCCCCAGCUUCUCUGGUGGCAACCCUACCUGCCCCAGAUUCAAGGCCUGCGUCAGCGGCUGCUCCAGGAGGAGGCUGUGCCUCUGCAGGCAAGACCCCAGUUACUGGUUCUGGCAGCCUCAGGAGGGCAGCUCUCUGGCCUGACCCACACCCUUGAGGGGCACGAAGGUAUGGAAUGCCGCCAUAUCACCUCCCCACAACAGCCAUCAGCUUGGAAGAGACCCCAUCUUCCCAACUCCCCUGUGCCUGGAGCAACCUUCCCAGCAGUACAGGAUGUAAAGGCACCUUGGUGACCCUCUCGUCCAGUGUUCUCACUUUACCCAUCAGAAACCUAAGGUCCAGAGAGUUGAGUUAGUUACCAAGACCUCACAGCUGGCAAUGGCCGUGCAGGGUAGAUGCUCUGUUUAGCUCUUGACACAGCCCCAAGUUGUCUGAAGGAGCUGUAUCUCGGAGAACUGGCUAAUGGUGGGCCAGGCCUGGAAGCUCUGUAUGUGAAUUAGAAGCCCCUAAUGUCCUAGGACUCUGUAAUGUGAUGGGGAAGAUAAUGAAGCUGACACUGCAAGGAGGCUAUUUGCUUCACCCCCUUGCUCUUCUCUCUGCUCCCCAUUUCGUGAUGGGAUCAGAUGAGGUCACUCCUCAGGUGGAUGAAAAUCUCUGCCCUCCCAAGCUGCUCUCUCUCCCUAAGCUCAUUAUCUGACAGGCUCCUACCUUCCCACGGCUUGCAGAGAGCAGGUAAAGUAAUUACGUGUUUUUCUUAAAUGGCCCUUCCAGUUGACAGAAACAGCUGCCCAGGGAUACAGUGGCCUCUCCUUCCCUGUUCUCUAUUAGCUGAUGCUGGAGGGUGCCAAAAGUGAUGGAGAAAACCAAUGAUGGGACUGCUACCCUCUCCAAGCUAGUCCCCACAGCAGAGUACCUGGAGCAGAUGAUGGAGGAGGAUGGCAUCACUCUGAGGACCUGUGUGUGCCCAGGUCGGCCUGCUCUGUUCAUGGACACUGCCCAACACAUAUGUCCUUGGGUGCUGGUGGCCCUGAUCGGGGACAAAAAGAACCCAAACUUUCCUCCUGCCUUGCACGCCCCUCUGUUACACCAAUGCACUGGUCUAAGCCCAUUGUUGGUGAUGUUUAGUGUCCUUUUUCAGUCCAGAGCAUGCACUGCUGCUGCUUGGAGAAUGCACUGUGUGAGGGGAAUAAUAAUGCGCUACUGAGCCCUUAUAGGCUGGGGCACGGGACAGGGGACACAGGCAAAGCACAAGGGACACCGCCCCCAGACUGGAUGGAUGAAAAGGUAAGUCAGCAAUCUUCUCGGACAAAUGAGCAAAACAUGUAUUUACACAUAAAGAUGAACUUGAAUGCAAAGGGUCCAGUAUCAAAACACAAGGACAAAGCAAAAGAAAGAGUGGAGGAAGAAAAAAUACAGUGGAGACAAGCAGGAGAACUUUUGAACUCCCCAAAGAGUUAAGUCCAGUCUUAGCUAACAGAGCCUACGGUGAGUCCAGAAUUCAGCAUUAUUGUGUCAAAGAUAAUAGCAGCCUUAUUACAACAGAGCGCUCCAUAUACAUUAGUGCCCACACACUGUCACCUAUCUGAAUUUAGCAGUAUUUUGUUCACAGAAUAAUGCUGAAUUGCCAUUGUUACAUCUUAGAAUUACACAUUCAUUAAUGGAAACACAGGAUUAGUGGUUCUUCUGUUCAGUGCAAAGUCCCAAAUGAAGAUUCAUUGUGGAGUAGCCCCAAAGUCAGUAAUGGCCAUCAUUAGAAGAACGUGCAUCGAAAUCAAAGGAUCUGUAAUUAUUUUAUAUUUUCCUAGUAUCAUCUGUGUUCCUCCAAAUUGUCCAACACUCUUGGUGUAAUCUGACAUCCUUCUGACCUCUCUGUGCAAAAUUUUAUUGCAAGCUGUUCAAAGUUAUAGAGACUUUCCCAAUAGAAAGUUUAUUAGCAGCCAUUUUGCUUCAAAUUGGACCUCAAAUUGUAGUUAAUAUGACUUUACUAUCAUUAAAUAGUACACCAAAAAUUUAGCCCAAACAAAAUCAACCAAGUUCUUCAGAUUUUAUCAUUGGAACAAACAUGCUGAGAACAAAGUUUCUCCCUCUUUUGUAUUUUAGGUUGUGAUCAUUUGAGUUGGCCACCCUAAUCUAGGGAAAGGGAAAGAAGCUGAUAUACCUGGUGACUUUAAAGAGUUAGAGGGAAUAAAUGAAAUUAAAGAUAAGUGUAUUAUGGCACAAAAAACUUUUUUCAAUCCUUGCAUAAGUUUUUUGGUUUGGGGGUUUGGGAUUUUUUUGAGAGGUAGAGAGAGUGAGUGAGCUCCCAUCUGUUUGCUUACUCCCCAAAUGCUUUCAAUCACCAACACUGGGCCAGGACCAAAGCCAGGAGCCAGGAACACAAUCCUAUUCUCCCAUGUUGGUGGCAGGGACCCAGUUAUUUGAGCCAUCACCACUGCUUACGAGGGUCUGCAUUCGUAGGAUGCUAGAGAGACACUAAAGGCAAUUUUAUCAAACCCAGGCACUGUGAUGUGGAUACAGGCAUCUUUACCAGCAUCUUAAUUACUAGGCCAAAUACCCACCCUCAAACACAAUGUUUUCAUAAUAUGCAUUCCCCUUGAAUUUUUGAAGUUCCUUCAUACACGAGGAAGCUUGGUGGGGAGGAGAUGGUUUUGCCAAAGUUGUGUUUAUUGCUGUAGACAUUCCUAAACCUUUCCUGUAUCCAGUUCUCCCUUCCUCUUAGAGGAAGGCCAUUUGACAAGCAAGCUCUGGCCUAUGAAACAGCAGUGGAAGUGGCAUGGUUGCUUCUGGGCUGAGUUUAGGUAGAGUAUGUGCUACCUGAAUCUCUUCUCUUCCCUCUUUGCUGUGUCCUUGUGAAAAUCCAAUGAGGUGUACACUGCAACGUACUUUUCUCAGUGAAAAGGGUAAAAAUAGAAAGCGCUCCUGAGUCAGUCUUGCCUUGGUGGGAUCCCUUAGUUCUCAAAUUUCUACCAGCUGAUGUCUCCAUCACCAGACUCAUCAUUUUUAUUCACUAGCUAAUGUUAAAAAUGCCUUCUCCCCAGUCAGAGGAUCAGGUGCACAGGAUCUAUCGAGGGAGUGCUUUACAGAAAGAACCAUCAGGGAGGGAAGGAGUGAAGCAUGGUUGAGCAAGGUUGAGUCCAACCUUGGUCUAACCAGUGAUGGAAUGGGGCAACUCUGGAGCAUAAAUAGAACUGGAGAACUAAGCUACACCCUCCGUCUGAUGUAAGAGGUCCUGACUUUUAUACUCCAAUAUCAGUCAAUGGCUAUGGGUCCUCCUAGCCUGGAGGGGCAGUGUGCAUUUUCUGGGCAAAGCUAUUCCCAUCAGGUGAGAAAAAUGAAGUUUUUGGAAAAGCAAGUAAUUGAUAGCUAUUAUCUAUUAGCACACUAAGCAGCUGGAGCCCUCAGCUCAGGACAGUGGAGCCAAGCAGCACCUACUAUAGUCGAUCCCUUGACUGUUCAUUUCCACUCUCUCCUCACAUUGAGCUCACUCCAUCCACAUAUAGUUUCUACAGGACUCUGUGUAACAAUUCCUAAGGGAACUUGCAAGAGGAUUGAAGGUAGAAUGAUCUUCAGCCUCCACUGCUGUAGCUGAUCCCAAAGCCAUCACCAACAACCAUCAUUUCCCUGUUCUAGCACUGUUUUAGUUGAUUUCUUACUACCACAUAACAGAACACCUGUUUCUGAGUAGUUUAGAAAAAGCAAGGAUUUAUUUAUCUCAUGGUUCUGUAGGCUGGAAAGUCCAAAAGGAUGAUUCUAUCAUCUGACGAGGUUUCUUCUUGCUGUAUCAUAACAUGGCAGAGGGCAUCACACAGUGAAAGGGACCAAGUGUGCUAGUGUCGGUCUAUCUUCCUGCUCCUAGAGAGCCACUGACGACACCAUAAGGGCCCUUCCUCGUUACCUCACCUAAUCCUAACUACCUACCAAAGGCCCUACCACCAAAUAUCAUUAACAUAUGACUUUGAGAUUAAGUUUACAACAAAUGAAUUUGGGGAACACAUUCAAACCGUAGUAUAAAAACCAUCCCUGAGACUCAUCAAAAUGCCAAACAUGGCCCCUUGGCCCCUGUGUGUUUUCAGCGCACGAUAAUCAGGAACAGUUCCUUGUAGGAUGGUAGAUGUUCUAUGCCUGCUUGCCUACAGGCAUCAGAAGACCAAAGUGAACAGAGUGACAACCAUGCUUUUACAUUAACUGGGACUUUUACUGUAUUCCUUGGUGGAAGCAGUCAUCUCUGAGAAGCAAGAUAUCUAAAAAAUGGGAAUGAAAAUAGAAAUUUCCCCAGUCAGUUAUGAUGAUAGAAAUGAUGAACAAAGCCAUAUUUACCUCCUGGACCCAGGUCUUCUACCUCAUAUGGAUACAGUGUGUGUAAUAGCAUGAGUUUGAAUAGCCUAAUGCAUCCUAAGCCAUCUACACCGGAUGUCUUAUUCAAGUACAUGACUCAUCUUCUAUUUAGGAGGCCUUUCUACUAUUCAGUUUGUUUGUUUGUUUUGCUUUUUUUUUUAAAGAUUUUAUUUAUUUAUUUAUUUAUUUGAAAGGCAGAGUUACAGGCAGAGAGAGGGAGAGACAGAAAUAAAGAUCUUCCAUUCACUGGUUCUCUCUCCAAAUGGCCACAGUGACCGGUGGUAGGCCGAUCCAAAGCCAGGAACCAGGAGCUUCUUCUGAGUCUCCCAUGUGGGUGCAGGGGCCCAAAGACUUGGGCCAUCUUCUACUGCUUUCCCAGGCCAUAACAGAGAGCUGGAUCAGAAGUAGAGCAGCCAGGACUAGAACCAGCACCCAUAUGAGAUGCUGGUGCCACAGGCUGAGGCUUAGCCCACUAUGCCACCAGCACAAGCCCCUCCACUAUUCUAUUAGGUUGUCAGUUUCUAAAUAGUGAGGCAUGCCAUGAAACUAGUGGAUCCCAUGAUCAUGGGUCAUGUGACACAUGGCCACACCUCCUUUGCCAUAAGUGAGUCUUUAGUUCAAGAAGAUGUUCAGUGUGACCCAAUGUCAGCAAAUCAGACACUCUGUGAGCCCUUGGAGAGUUUGAUGGCCAAGGCCUUGUAAAUAGGAAAGACAAAUCCAUGUUCAGAAUAUGCAUCAACCUCAGUGAGUAUGAAUCACUACUCUAUACAGGAUGGGAAAGGUCACACAGAACAGACACCACAAGUAUCCUUCAGAUCUAAAACAAGAGUUGAAGCUUCACUAGGCUUGCAAUGGAUUGUUGCUGGGCCUGUAGGACACCUCAUACAAUGCUACCCAUAAUUACCCAAAUAAAUGUCAAGGGGGUCUCUUUAGGGAAGAACUGAGAAAUCUCUACUAUAUACACUUGCCUCCGUGUUAUAGAAUUCUUCCUCACUUGACAUGACUUUCAAUCCUUGACUCGACCUUCAAUCAGUGGGGUUAUAUGUCUGAGAACAGGCUAAUUUUCUAAUUUGAACAAUAAAUUGUGAGUUCCCAUUGGGACUUUGCCUUUCUGCUCUCUUCAUUGGUGGGGCUGAUGCUAUCCAGCUCACGACAGGCAGUUUGGCAUUUAUUCACUCAAUAUCCCAUGUUUGGAUGCUCUGUCUCUACUGGUGCCAAUAGCACAGCAAGAAAUGGUUUUCAAAUGAUAUGUAGUCCUCUGCAAAUGACUUGAGCUUGUUUUAGAACCCCAGAGUCUUUGCUGGAACUUCUCUUUAGAGACUUCCUGGAGCCUGUACUCAGUAUUGUAUUCUCCCCAGAUGCUUCUAGGACCAUGGUGUCUCCUAGGCCACAUGGAUCACCAAAGGAAUGGUAUAUGUGCACCUUAGGAAUGUCUCUUGUUCUGUAACCAACACAAAACUUUCAGCCUUUCAUGUCACUUGAUAAGUGAGUUGGAGAAAUAUUCUCAAGUACAGAAUAUACUGCCUUUAAAACCCAAAAAGAUCUAAUAAUUGCGGUGCUUCUUUCUGAAUAGUAACACGUGCAAAUAUGCAUUUAUUCCUGGCUUUGUUCCUUACUAAGAACAAGGCACUUGCUCCUUACCUCAGAAAAACUAUCUUAGCAUGGCCCAGACCACUGCACAUCUAUAACCUUCACUAAUGUGGCAGGCCCUGGCAUCUUUGUUGAGUUUAUCUCCCGCUUUUGGGACCAUUUGUCUGGUAAGGCAUCUGGAGUAUUUGCCAGAGUGGAGCAAUGUUCUUCAGAAUGUUUGGUCAAUCCAGAUCCUUUCAGAUUAUUUUAUGACAGAACGCAUAAGAAUCGACAUACUUCUGGAGCUCGAUCCUGACUCUACAGUGUUGUCCAACCCAGAUGGAUGCUAACUGCUUCUGUUGCCCCUUCCUCAAGGAAAAGAACACGUUCAGCAAAUCUGUAAUGCAUCCCCCUUACUUGAGGCUGUGCUAAUCUGUUCUAGUAAAAAUAGCACAUCAGACAAAGAAGCUCUAAUUGUUGCCAUUACUUGGUCAAGUUUGUGAUAGUUUGUUAUCAUCUUCCAUGAUCAAACUGGUUCUGCAAGGACCAGACAGGAGAUUAUGAUAAAAGCCACUACCCUUGAGUCAUGUGAGUCAUGUAGUAUAGCACUUAUCUCUGUCAUGCUUUCUAGGAUACUGUGUGCUUUUGAGUUACUGUCCUGAUAUGGGAAGGAAUUUUAGGGGCUUCCAUGUCGCUUUUCCCAUAACAUUAACUCUUAGUCCCUUCCCCAUGAAAGACCACCAAGCUCAGUAUACUCCCACCAUUUAUACAAUCAAGCCUUUGGGAGACAGUCGCCUUUUGGUUUAUGGACCUAGGAGGCACUGUGAGGUGGAUAAGGGCCAUGACUCCAUUUAUUAUUACUUACCCUAUAAAGUCCUCCUCUAGCAAGGAUCUGAUAGUGCUUUGGGUCCCCAGGGAUCAGCAUCUACUCAGAUCGGUAACCAACAACUGGGUAUAAUCUAUUCUUGAGGGACUAAUUACCCAGGUAAAUGUCAAGGGGUCUUUUUAGGAAAGAACUGAGCAAUCCCUAUUGGAUACACUUGCCUCUGUGUUAUAGAAUCCUUCCUUACAGGGCCUUGACCUUCAAUCAGCGGGGUUAUAUGUCUGAGAACAGGCUCAUAUUUCUAACUUGCGCAACAGAUUGUGAGUUCCCAUUGGGACUUUGGCCUUCUGCUCUCUUCAUUCUUAUUCCUUUCGGAGGCCAUAUUUCUGAAAAAAUAAACUAUAAUCACUGUUAGAGAUAUAAGGUGGGACAAAUGGUGAAAAAAGUACAGUUCCUCACCUCAUGGAACUCCCCGCUCCACCUUUCUAUGAUGUGAAUAUUUGUGUCUUCCUCAAAAUUCAUGCUGAAAGCUUAACCGCCAUCAUGUCUCAGCCUUUUGACCAAGAUCAAGCAAAAUCCUAACCCUUAGGGCAAUGAUAUCAGGAAGUAGGACUCUUGGGUGAUUAAGUCAUGAAGGCAGAGCCCUCAUGAAUGGAAGUACUGUUCUUACAAAAGAGACCAAAGAGAAGCUAGUUGGCCCCUUCCACCACAUGAAAAGAGAGUGAAAAGAUGGAGUUUAUGAACCAAAGAGUGGGCCCUCACCAGACACUCAUUUUGCCUUGAUCUUGGACUUCUCAGGCUCAUACCGUGAGAAACAAAUUCCCAUUAUUUACAAGCCACCCUGCCAUAACAUUUUGUUACAUCAACCCAAAUAGAUUAAGACAACCUUGUCUUAACUUCCCAGGCUGAAAAAUUGGAAUACUAAGAUGGAAAAUGCUGUAGAUUCUCAGUGGCUGACAAAGUUGAAAGGAAAAAUGACAACAGUAAUAAUGGUUAACAUUGAAAGAUUACCAUGUGUUCUAAGUGCCUUACCUAUGUCAUUUGAUUUAAUCCUCACAGCCCUGUGAAAUGGGUUUCCUCAUUCUAUGGAUGAUGAAAUUUGCUUUUAGAGAAAUGGCCAAAGUUCAAAUUGCCUCCCUAAAGCUGUUUGUGACCAAAUAAAUACAAGAUCAAUCAACAGCAAAAAAGAGAAUUCAAGUUGAAUGGUUGGCAUCGUGACCAGAGGAGGUCAAAUUCUCCAGAACUCCUCACUUGAGUACAGAGUACUUAUUUAAAUAAUUCUUUUUUUAUGAUUCAAGCCAAUCUGGAAAUGCCAAGGAGUUCAAAACUCAAGAGAUUAAGUCAUCUAACUCAACAGUUAUCCAUUGGAAACACCUGCCAUGUACUGAGGCUUGAGGGGGAAAAAAAGCCAUUCUGUCCUGAAGGCUCUUGUGUGCACUGAUAGGUAAUGAGUCACACAAGAACUAAAGACCUGGUUGUCCAGUGUUUUUCAAAUCACAGGUCCCAAUCCAUUAGUGAAUCAUGACAACAGCCUAAUAGGUUUUGACUAGGGUUUAAAAAGAUGAAAUAGAACUUAUUCAAAGUGACUAUAUAGAAAAUACCAGAUUGUGUCUUUUGUAGUAAGAAUACUGUUUUUGUGAAAUUUUAUUAUUCCAAUGAAUUAAAAUGUAUUUCUUAGUGUUGGUUGUGGUCAAAAAACUUAAAAAAAAAUUGCAUAGGACAUAUGUAAAAAUACCUAAGGGAACAACACACAACAGACCAACCUCAGAUCAAGGGGCAAAGGAGCCACCAAGUUGACAUCAUUUGAGAAAAAAAAAAUUAAAUGACUAAAUCAGAAGCUUAGGGACCAGAGUUGAAGAACAGCGGGUUAAGCCUCUACCUGUGAUGCUGGCAUCCCACACGGGAGCAUUGAUUAGUGUCCCAGCUGAUCUGCUUCCAGUCUAGCUGUCUGCUAAUGCACCUAGGAAAGCAGCAGAAGACAUUCCCAAGUACUUGAGCCUCCAGAACCCACGUGGCAGUAUUUCUAGCCUCCUGGCUUUGGCUGGACCAGCCCUGGCCAUGGUAUCCAUUUAGGGAUUAAACUAGCAGAUGGAAGAUCUUUCUGUUUCUCUAUCACUCUCCCUUUCAAAAUAAAGAAAUAAAUAGUUUAUUUAAAAAAACACUUUCUUGGCUAUCUGAGAUUAACAUAAAUAUUUCUAUAGCCUAUGGAGUCAUAUGUCAAAAUUUUCUAGAAAGAGACAGACAUAGGGGUACAGCAGGUUGAGCCACCACUUUGAACAUCCACAUCCCAUAUGGGACAGCUUCAUUCAAGUCCUGCCUCUGCCUCUGAUUCAGCUUCCUGAUAUUGUGCACCUUGGGAGGCAGCAGAUAAUGGCUUAAGUACUUUGACCCCUGCCAUUUAUGUGGGAGACCCAGAUGGAGUUCCCAGCUCCUGGCUUCAGGAUGGCUCAGCCCCAGCAUUGCAGACAUUUGAGGAGUAAACCAGUUAAUGGAAUUCUCUCUCUCUCUCUUUCUCUCUCUCAAAUUCUUCCUUUCUCACUUUCUCUCUCCCUUUUCAAAAAACAAAUUUUGAAAUGGAAGGUUACCUGACACCUAAUCCAGAAACAUGUUUUUUGUUUUUUGUUUUUUACAGGCAGAGUGGACAGUGAGAGAGAGAGAGACAGAGAGAAAGGUCUUCCUUUUGCCGUUGGUUCACCCUCCAAUGGCCGCUGCAGCCGGCGCGCUGCGCUGAUCCGAAGGCAGGAGCCAGGUGCUUCCUCCUGGUCUCCCAUGGGGUGCAGGCCCAAGCACUUGGGCCAUCCUCCUCUGCACUCCCGGGCCACAGCAUAGAGCUGGACUGGAAGAGGGGCAACCGGGACAGAAUCCAGUGCCCCAACCGGGACUAGAACUCAGGGUGCCGGUGCCUCAGGUGGAGGAUUAGCCUAUUGAGCCGCAGCGCCGGCCAGAAACUUGCUUUUAAAAUAGCCCUUUCUUUAAAAAACCAGGGCAGGGGGAUGGAAUUAAAAGACAAUGGGCAUUUCCCAUGAACUUUAUGAACACAGCAACAACAAAGAACCCAUUUAGGCUUUGACCAUGACCAUGAUGCGGAGACCUCUAGUAGGGAUACCUGUAAUGCCCAGCAUCGCUGCAUGACCCCGAAGCACCUCUCCACCACCAUUCCCAGUGCUGAGCGCUCAUUUCUCCACACUGGGUCUGAGGAAAUGGCCGUGGGCACACAGACCUGAGGGGGCAGACUGGACGUGAACAACGAGGACCCCAGAGGCUAACAUGCCCUUGAAGGAGCUGUCCAUGCUGCUCAAAGGCAGGCUUUUGAGGCUGCACACGUCACUGUUUGUUCCCACUUUGCUAUUUAUGUUGGCCACUGCUCAUAAAAACCCAGAUCGCUCCUCCACGAGCCACACCACCACAUGAAAUCUCCUGCUUGACACGCCAGUGUGGGUCCAAAAAAAUGUCUAAAAUGGAAAGGAGGAAAUUUAUAAAUUUGCAAAGCACUUUUCACUCGGGCAGGGCUCUAUAUGAGUCAUGCUUCGUAUUAAAACAGCACCUUCCUUCCUAAAUGGUUCUGAGAGCUGCACUCUGCUUAUCACAGUCUCCCAUAUGGGAAGCACCAACAAAGAUCCUUCUUACAGACUCCCAGGGGCUCCAGUCCCUAAAACAGGGUUGGAUCGGGUACAGCCUGGAGAAGGAGGAUAUGCACGCUUCUAACCACCCCCGGGACGCUGCACUUGCAAAGUCACGAAGCACAGGCACAGCAGGCAAUUUUAUGCUUGAUUCAUAAACCAGAGCUCUGAAGGGCGGCGGUGUCAGAAACUCCAGUCGCACUCAGCUACCAGAAGGGAUCCGCAGAGGGGGCUUUGCAAAAACCGCCCAGGCGUUUUAUCCAGAGCUUGCCUAGGCUGUGUCUUUGGCCAGAAGGUUCUUCCCUGCCACUCUGUACUGGCCUCAUUUCUUCUCAUCCGCCAUGCAGAUGUCACCCUGUCAGAGAUCCCCUCCCUGACUUUCUUCCCCAAAUCAAUUCUCUCUCCACGCAUCCUGCCCUUCUCCUUUGCAGCACGGAUGGCCGUGAAUAAUUAUAAAUGCUGAUCUGUGUGCUGAAUACCUGUCUUUGCAGGUGACUGAGGUUCUGUAAGAGCUGCAGGCUUCUCCAUGGACACCCAGCACCUCGCCGGCUGAAGACCUGAAUGCUUAUUGAAAGAGUGAAUGAGUUUUCUUUGUAAAACUGAAACUUUGUUACCUGGGACUUAGCAGGAAGUGGUUGUUUUGCUAUCAAAUUUUAAGGAGAUAAUCAUGAUUCUGAAAAUGUUAACUGGUAGAUUCACCCGUGUUCAUAACAGCAUGGUUCACAGUAGCCUAGAGGUAGAAGCCAUCCAAGAGUCUGUUAAGGGAUGAACACAAAAUGUGGCCAGAUGAACAGUUAAUGGGAUAUUAUCCAGUCUUUAAAAGCAAGGAAAUCCGCUACCUUCUCCAACAUGGAUGAACUCUGAGGAGGUUAGGCUAAGUGAAAUAAGCCAGUCACAAAAAGACAAACGCUAUACAAUUCCACUUGCAUGAGGUACAUGGAGUAGUCAGAUUCAUAGCCACAGAAGGCAAAUGAUGAUUACCAGGGUAGGGGAAGGGAGGAAUGGGGAGUUGUUGAUUAAUGAGAAUAGUUCUAGUUUGGGGAGAUGAAUACUUCUAGAGAUGAAUGGUGGUGAUAGCAGCACAGCUGUGUGUUCAGACACUAAUACUCUUAAGCUGUCCACUCAGAAGGGAUCUGUCUUCACUUCUUGUUUUUUUUUUUUUUUAAGAUUUAUUUAUUUAUUUGAAAGGCAGAGGCAGAGAGAGAGAGAGAGAGAGAGAGAGAGAUCUUCUAUCUGCUUGUUCAUUCCCCAGAUGGCUGCAAUGGCCAGAGCUGUGCCAAUCUGAAGCCAGAAGCCAGGAGCUUCUUCGGGGCCUCCCAUGCAGGUGUAGGGGCCCAAGGACUCUGGGCAUCCUACACUGCUUCCUCAGGCCACAGCAGAGAGCUGACCAGAAGUGGAGCCGCCAGGUCCCAAACCGGCACCCACAUGGGAUGCAGGCACUGAAGGCGACAGUCUAACCCACUAUGCCACAGUUCUGGCCCCUAAAUAAAUAAAUUUUUAAGUAAAUUUUAUAAUAUUAAGUAUUUACUGCCACAAAAAAUGCAUGGUUUUGGUGUCCCAGCAGUAUGGGGCAUAUUGUGUAUAAAUGCUAACAAACAAGACAAAUGUUGGUGACACACUAGGUGAAAGGUUUGAAUUCUGGCCGUGGUUCAGUAGAGCUUUCAGAUUUCCUCUUCCCUAGCCAGAGAGACCCCAUGUGGAGCCCAAUGUCCUCCACACAGCAGGUGUUUAGAAAUACUCCUUGAAUGGGUGGCUGGAGAAUCUUGAAUAACAAAGACGGAAUUUUAAAUUGUGUUACACUGUUGUGUUUCUGAAAAGAGUGCUUCACUUUCAAAGGUUAACAAAGAAAUCACAAUCUUCAUGGUGAAAGUUUACAAGAUGGCUACCGUAAUUAACCACAUUUUACAGAGAGGGGUCAGCACCUUGCUUAGGAGCAUGCGUCUAGGCUUGGCAGCACCAGAUGGCACGUUCUUAACCAGAGAGUUCUACCAGCUCUUGGGAGGGCAAGAGAAGGGAGGCAAAGGGAGAGAAGACAAGCUGCAUUUCUUAAAGUUUAAAAGUCAAGACACACUUAACUAUUUGACCCAUUUUAAUGCGCACAUCUUGAUACAAACAACUAAGCACAGGGUUCCUGUGUUGUCUCCCAAGCCACAUCUUGAGUCUUAUCCAGCAUAGCCACCUCUUGUUUCCCAGGCUGCUGGCCCCAGAGCCUGCACAGAGAUCCUACCCGCCCCCCUCCACACACACACACACACACACACACACACACACACAGCCUCACUCACUCUUCCGGUCGCAGAUGAUAACUUCCCUUAACACCCCACAGUUUCCAGAAGGCUGCAUUGUUCGAGUCCUCAUUUUGCAGCUCCAAAAGACCUCAUUUCCUCUGGCUAUUCUUUGCUGCUUCCUUAGUUGGUAGGGAACAAAACCAACCCUCCCAUUCACCUCUGUUCUGGUUCAUCACUCUCUAGGAACCUUAAAAAUACUCUUAAAGUGGUAAGACACACAGCAGGAGCAGAGGCAGAAUACAAGUGUGGUGCGCCUAGUGGUGGCCGGAGCUGUAGGGCAGGUAGGAGUCAUGGAGACAGAACUCUACAAAAGAAAAGUCUCGUGAAAGCCACAGAACACAAAACAUCACACUGGGUGCACCCAUAAGUAUCCUUGAACUGGCGCUUAUUCUGAUAAAUGUUUUUAUUAUUGAUGUCAACGCAAGCCAGUUUGUAUGAAAGAACACUCAGAAACCAUCAUCUAAAGAGAAAGAGGAAAAGACUUGAGAAGGGGAGGGUCUGUGUUUACUAGCCCUCUGCUCUCCUGGAGAUGUAAUUUAUCACCCUUGCUAGGGUGUCUGCCUGGUCUGUAUUCCUCUAACGCGUCUGAGGAAGGCUUCCUAGGCCUAAGAGAAACGGCACUUGUGUUCCUCUGGGCAGACACCGGCAGCUUUGUGCUAGCAUUUCCAUUACACUAGACAGACGGGUUAUUUUUUUUUCCUCCUCUCUCUGAAUUCUGGCCAUGGCCUGACAAUGCAGAGCAGCUCUCAGUAACGGUGAGACAGGGCAGUCACCUGCGGCUGGCAGCAAGGGCCCAGGGCCAUUGCACAGCUAUUCUCCAGGAUCAGAUUCAGCACGCAUUGGCAGUCCCUCUCCUGCUUUAGAGGCCGUGAAAUCUUAAAAUCACUCUUUGGUGACUUGCCUUCUUUGACUAGUAGACUUUGUAGAGAAUAAAACAGAAAGCGUAGAGAGUCCAGCUGGAGAUGCAAACAGUGGAAGGAAACAAUGGGCUGUGGUGAUUUUGAGCUCCUGAGAACGCUUCAGCCUUGGUGAAUGAGGAGAUGCACACUCUGCUCUCCUGCCCCCCUCCAUCACGGUGCCUAGAGAAUGGAAGGCUGUAGUUCUCAAAAGACAAACCAAAGAUCAAGUUCAGUAGCCCUGUGUAUGCUUGAAGCAAUUUGCAUCUUUAUUUUCAGGCUUAAACAAAUUUCAGAGUAACUGAAAAAUCAAAAAACACCAUAAUACAUAACUGUAUCAUAAUAACAGGAUCACAUAGAAACUGAUUUCUUUUACUAUAUAUAUAUUUAAAGGUUGGGGGGGGUCCCUUCUGCUGGUUCACUUCUCAAAUGUCCACAGCAGCUAAAGCUGUGCUGGGCCACAGCCAGGAUUUCUCCAUGUCUCCAAGUGUUUACCAGAGCCCAGUUACUUGAGCCCUCACCUCUGCCUCCCAAGGCCUGCGUGAGCAGGAAGCUGGAGUCCAGAAUUGGACCUUGGAACUGAACCCACUCACUCCAAGGUGUAACUUGUGCAUCUUAGCUGAUUUCAAAAUCAACUGAUUUUUCAAAAAUGUAUCUUUUCAAAUAAUAUUCUCCAUGUUUUUCUUUAAUCUCCAGAUUAUCGUUUGAAUAAAAGACUAUUAAAAGGAUUAGGUCUAAUUGUCAGUCUGAGAAAGUAGACUGUGUCCACUAUGCAAAACAUCUAGAUACACAGGGAAAACUGUGUGUUUAUCAUGCUUUUAUCCUACAUAUCCUGAUUUUUUUUUGGGUCACCUGUACAAGGGACUUCAAAAUGUUUAUAGAAAAUGGAAUUAAAAGAUAAGUUUAUUUUGGUGCAAAAAUUAUUGAAAUCCAUGAAUACAAAGGGUCUUCUAAAAGUUCAUGAAAAAUGUUUACCAUGAAAGAACUAUGCAUGGAUUUCAAAAAAGGUUUUUUGACACCAAAAUAAACUUUUUUUUUUUUUUUGACAGGCAGAGUGGACAGUGAGAGAGAGAGACAGAGAGAAAGGUCUUCCUUUUGCCGUUGGUUCACCCUCCAAUGGCCGCCGCGGCCAGCGCGCUGCGGCUGGCACACCGCGCUGAUCCGAUGGCAGGAGCCAG
Oryctolagus cuniculus (rabbit) is the source of this 15758-nucleotide non-coding RNA. Lineage: Eukaryota; Metazoa; Chordata; Mammalia; Lagomorpha; Leporidae. The record is from RefSeq and is a predicted model, not a curated record.